RNAcentral lists this ribosomal RNA (497 nucleotides) under uncultured bacterium. RNAcentral describes it as "partial 16S ribosomal RNA". It matches the Rfam family "Bacterial small subunit ribosomal RNA", at positions 28 to 507 of the family's 1533-position model. The record is from RNAcentral.
GAUGAACGCUGGCGGCGUGCCUAAUACAUGCCAGUCGAGCGAACGGACGAGAAGCUUGCUUCUCUGAUGUUAGCGGCGGACGGGUGAGUAACACGUGGAUAACCUACCUAUAAGACUGGGAUAACUUCGGGAAACCGGAGCUAAUACCGGAUAAUAUUUUGAACCGCAUGGUUCAAAAGUAAAAGACGGUCUUGCUGUCACUUAUAGAUGGAUCCGCGCUGCAUUAGCUAGUUGGUAAGAUAACGGCUUACCAAGGCAACGAUGCAUAGCCGACCUGAGAGGGUGAUCGGCCACACUGGAACUGAGACACGGUCCAGACUCCUACGGGAGGCAGCAGUAGGGAAUCUUCCGCAAUGGGCGAAAGCCUGACGGAGCAACGCCGCGUGAGUGAUGAAGGUCUUCGGAUCGUAAAACUCUGUUAUUAGGGAAGAACAUAUGUGUAAGUAACUGUGCACAUCUUGACGGUACCUAAUCAGAAAGCCACGGCUAACUACGUG